This 506-nucleotide ribosomal RNA is filed under the name uncultured bacterium. RNAcentral describes it as "partial 16S ribosomal RNA". It matches the Rfam family "Bacterial small subunit ribosomal RNA", at positions 29 to 523 of the family's 1533-position model. The record is from RNAcentral.
AGUGAACGCUGGCGGUAGGCCUAACACAUGCAAGUCGAACGGCAGCACAGGAGAGCUUGCUCUCUGGGUGGCGAGUGGCGGACGGGUGAGGAAUACAUCGGAAUCUACUCUGUCGUGGGGGAUAACGUAGGGAAACUUACGCUAAUACCGCAUACGACCUACGGGUGAAAGCAGGGGACCUUCGGGCCUUGCGCGAUUGAAUGAGCCGAUGUCGGAUUAGCUAGUUGGCGGGGUAAAGGCCCACCAAGGCGACGAUCCGUAACUGGUCUGAGAGGAUGAUCAGCCACACUGGAACUGAGACACGGUCCAGACUCCUACGGGAGGCAGCAGUGGGGAAUAUUGGACAAUGGGCGCAAGCCUGAUCCAGCCAUACCGCGUGGGUGAAGAAGGCCUUCGGGUUGUAAAGCCCUUUUGUUGGGAAAGAAAUCCAGCCGGCUAAUACCUGGUUGGGGUGACGGUACCCAAAGAAUAAGCACCGGCUAACUUCGUGCCAGCCGCCGCGGUAA